RNAcentral lists this long non-coding RNA (204 nucleotides) under Gossypium barbadense (sea-island cotton). RNAcentral's name for it is "long non-coding RNA (GBAR_LNC000473)". The record is from RNAcentral. Lineage: Eukaryota; Viridiplantae; Streptophyta; Magnoliopsida; Malvales; Malvaceae.
UUCAGUCAAUGGCGAUGGAAGACUAGGUAGAUUACGAAUAUGGCAAUGUAAAAUUUGAUCUUCUGUCUAUUUACGUAAAAAAAUACAAAAUAUUAAGUUAAUAUAUUAACAAUGAAAUAAAAAAUUAAACAAAAUUGAAAUUUAUUAAAAUUUAUUCAUACCAUUUGUAAUUGAAUGACGGAAAUGUGCUUGUCAUCAUGUCGG